This 176-nucleotide small nuclear RNA is filed under the name Oncorhynchus mykiss (rainbow trout). Its description in RNAcentral is "U2 spliceosomal RNA (ENSOMYG00000020386.2)". It matches the Rfam family "U2 spliceosomal RNA". Rfam says of the family: U2 is a small nuclear RNA (snRNA) component of the spliceosome (involved in pre-mRNA splicing). Complementary binding between U2 snRNA (in an area lying towards the 5' end but 3' to hairpin I) and the branchpoint sequence (BPS) of the intron results the bulging out of an unpaired adenosine, on the BPS, which initiates a nucleophilic attack at the intronic 5' splice site, thus starting the first of two transesterification reactions that mediate splicing. Lineage: Eukaryota; Metazoa; Chordata; Actinopteri; Salmoniformes; Salmonidae. The record is from RNAcentral.
AAAACUUUUCCAAAAGAAAAAAAUCUGUUCUUAUCAGUUUAAUAUCUGAUACGUCCCCUAUCUGGGGACCAUAUAUUAAAUUGAUUUUUGGAAUAGGGAGAUGGAAUAGGGGCUUGCUCCGUCCACUCCACGCAUCGACCUGGUAUUGCAGUACUUCCAGGAACGGUGCACCCCCU